RNAcentral lists this ribosomal RNA (431 nucleotides) under uncultured bacterium. RNAcentral's name for it is "bacterial SSU rRNA". It matches the Rfam family "Bacterial small subunit ribosomal RNA", at positions 340 to 786 of the family's 1533-position model. The record is from RNAcentral.
UACGGGAGGCAGCAGUGGGGAAUAUUGGACAAUGGGCGAAAGCCUGAUCCAGCAAUGCCGCGUGAGUGAUGAAGGCCUUAGGGUUGUAAAGCUCUUUUUACCCGGGAUGAUAAUGACAGUACCGGGAGAAUAAGCUCCGGCUAACUCCGUGCCAGCAGCCGCGGUAAUACGGAGGGAGCUAGCGUUGUUCGGAAUUACUGGGCGUAAAGCGCACGUAGGCGGCUUUGUAAGUUAGAGGUGAAAGCCCGGGGCUCAACCCCGGAACUGCCUUUGAUACUGCAUGGCUUGAAUCCAGGAGAGGUGAGUGGAAUUCCGAGUGUAGAGGUGAAAUUCGUAGAUAUUCGGAAGACACCAGUGGCGAAGGCGGCUCACUGGACUGGUAUUGACGCUGAGGGUGCGAAAGCGUGGGGAGCAAACAGGGAUUAGAUACC